AUUGAACGCUGGCGGCAUGCCUUACACAUGCAAGUCGAACGGCAGCACGGGAGCAAUCCUGGUGGCGAGUGGCGAACGGGUGAGUAAUAUAUCGGAACGUGCCCAGUCGUGGGGAGUAACGUAGCGAAAGCUACGCUAAUACCGCAUACGAUCUAUGGAUGAAAGCGGGGGAGUCGCAAGACCUCGCGCGAUUGGAGCGGCCGAUAUCAGAUUAGGUAGUUGGUGAGGUAAAGGCUCACCAAGCCGACGAUCUGUAGCUGGUCUGAGAGGACGACCAGCCACACUGGGACGUGAGACACGGCCCAGACUCCUACGGGAGGCAGCAGUGGGGAAUUUUGGACAAUGGGCGCAAGCCUGAUCCAGCAAUGCCGCGUGCAGGAUGAAGGCCUUC
This 391-nucleotide ribosomal RNA is filed under the name uncultured bacterium. RNAcentral describes it as "bacterial SSU rRNA". It matches the Rfam family "Bacterial small subunit ribosomal RNA", at positions 30 to 419 of the family's 1533-position model. The record is from RNAcentral.